This 464-nucleotide ribosomal RNA is filed under the name Vreelandella stevensii. RNAcentral describes it as "partial 16S ribosomal RNA". It matches the Rfam family "Bacterial small subunit ribosomal RNA", at positions 339 to 795 of the family's 1533-position model. The record is from RNAcentral. Lineage: Bacteria; Pseudomonadati; Pseudomonadota; Gammaproteobacteria; Oceanospirillales; Halomonadaceae.
CUACGGGUGGCAGCAGUGGGGAAUAUUGGACAAUGGGCGAAAGCCUGAUCCAGCCAUGCCGCGUGUGUGAAGAAGGCCUUCGGGUUGUAAAGCACUUUCAGUGGGGAAGAAAGCCUUGGGGCUAAUACCCUCGAGGAAGGACAUCACCCACGGAAGAAGCACCGGCUAACUCCGUGCCAGCAGCCGCGGUAAUACGGAGGGUGCGAGCGUUAAUCGGAAUUACUGGGCGUAAAGCGCGCGUAGGCGGUCUGAUAAGCCGGUUGUGAAAGCCCCGGGCUCAACCUGGGAACGGCAUCCGGAACUGUCAGGCUAGAGUGCAGGAGAGGAAGGUAGAAUUCCCGGUGUAGCGGUGAAAUGCGUAGAGAUCGGGAGGAAUACCAGUGGCGAAGGCGGCCUUCUGGACUGACACUGACGCUGAGGUGCGAAAGCGUGGGUAGCAAACAGGAUUAGAUACCCCUGUAGUC